AUUAGCUCCUUUGGCUUCCAAUAUCAUUUCUAUGCGGAUGACACGCAAAUCUACUUGUCCUCUCCUGAUCUCUCCCCGUCCCUCUUGACUAGUGUCUCUGACUGCCUCUCUGCUGUUUCUAACUGGAUGGCUGCCCACUUCCUUAACCUAAACUUGACCAAAACUGAAAUUCUGGUCUUUCCUCCCUCAAGUGUUGUUACUCCUGUGUCUGUCUCCCUCCAAGUCAACGGUGCUACCAUCAGCUCCACCACGCAGGCUCGCUGCCUAGGUGUUCUCUUUGACUCCGACCUCUCCUUCA
RNAcentral lists this long non-coding RNA (298 nucleotides) under Pelobates cultripes (western spadefoot toad). Lineage: Eukaryota; Metazoa; Chordata; Amphibia; Anura; Pelobatidae. The record is from RNAcentral.